CCCUUAGAUGUUCUGGGCCGCACGCGUGCUACACUGAACGGUUCAAUGGGUAAGGUAGUGCGAAAGCAUGACCUAAUCUCGAAAUCCGUUCGUGCUGGGGAUAGAAGCUUGCAAUUAUCCUUCUUGAACGAGGAAUACCUUGUAAGCGUGAGUCAUCAUCUCACGCUGAAUACGUCCCUGCCCUUUGUACACACCGCCCGUCGCUCCUACCGAUUGAGUGUUCCGGUGAGGCUUUGGGGGAAUGGCCUCAACAUGAGUUUAUCGUGUUUUGCCGUUUGAACUUAGUCAAACCUUAUCACUUAGAGGAAGGAGAAGUCGUAACA
Molecule: ribosomal RNA, 323 nt
Filed under: uncultured eukaryote
Lineage: Eukaryota
Description: partial 18S ribosomal RNA
Rfam family: Eukaryotic small subunit ribosomal RNA
Source: RNAcentral